GAAUAUUGCGCAAUGGUCGAAAGACUGACGCAGCGACGCCGCGUGGAGGAUGACGCCCUUCGGGGUGUAAACUCCUGUUGCUCGGGACGAACCGUGGAAUUCAUUCCACCUGACGGUACCGAGUGAGGAAGCACCGGCUAACUCUGUGCCAGCAGCCGCGGUAAUACAGCGGGUGCGAGCGUUGUCCGGAAUCACUGGGCGUAAAGGGCGCGUAGGCGGUGCGACAAGCGUGCGGUGAAAGCUCGGGGCUCAACCCCGAGUCGGCCGUGCGAACUGUCGGACUUGAGCACAGUAGAGGCAGAUGGAAUUCCGGGUGUAGCGGUGGAAUGCGUAGAGAUCCGGAAGAACACCGGUGGCGAAGGCGGUCUGCUGGGCUGUGGCUGACGCUGAGGCGCGACAGCGUGGGGAGCAAACAGG
RNAcentral lists this ribosomal RNA (417 nucleotides) under uncultured bacterium. Its description in RNAcentral is "bacterial SSU rRNA". It matches the Rfam family "Bacterial small subunit ribosomal RNA", at positions 359 to 776 of the family's 1533-position model. The record is from RNAcentral.